This 83-nucleotide transfer RNA is filed under the name Coniosporium apollinis CBS 100218. It matches the Rfam family "tRNA". Rfam says of the family: Transfer RNA (tRNA) molecules are approximately 80 nucleotides in length. Their secondary structure includes four short double-helical elements and three loops (D, anti-codon, and T loops). The record is from Rfam by way of RNAcentral. Lineage: Eukaryota; Fungi; Ascomycota; Dothideomycetes.
GCGGAUGUGACCUAGUGGUAAAGGUGUCGCCCUCCCAAAUCCCGGUCAGGCGAAAACCCGAGUUCGAAUCUUCGGCAUUCGCA